UCACUAGACAUAAGCACAGAUCAGAGAAUGGGCUACAACAUUACAGUCCUGUAUCUGUGCCCCACACGGAUCUAAAGAGGCUGCCCCGGGGAGUGGGGCCUUACAAUCUUUUCUUUAUCAUGGCACAUCAAUAACCCUGCUGUGCAACAGGGGCCAUAAAAUGCUGCAACAGCAGGGUGCUCCGCAGAUUACUGACAGCACUGGGAGCAAUAGCUCAUUUGUGCAACAAGUAGACCUUCCACCAGCAGGAACAUCAAAACUCUUGUUUUGAAUAUGGUCCCAAAUUUCACUUGGCCUGUCAAUGAUCAAAACACAUAACCGCUCCAACAGAUAUGGAUUUGACUGCAAUUGGCUCAGUGCUGCGUCUGUCUCCUUGUGAACCUAAGAGUGAAAGACACACCCUAAUUUGUAUCAAUGGCGCUGAGGUGGAGGAGAUCGAGAGCUUCAAGUUCCAAAGAGUAAAUAUCACCAACAAUUUGUUCUGGUCCAUCUGUAUCGAUGCUACAGUCAAGAAAGCAUACAAAUGCCUCUACUUCCUCAGAAGGCUAAGAAAAUAAAGUAUGUCCAUAAUGACUCAUCAUUUUUCAUAGAUGCAUCAUAGAAAACAUCCUUUCAAGAUCAAAGCUUGGUAUGGCAACUGCUUAUUCCAAGAUCGCAAGAAACUGCAGAGAGUUGUAAAUGCAGCCAGGUCCAUCAUAAAAACUAACCUUCCUUCCAUUGACUCCGUCUAUACUUCCCGCUGCCUCGGGAAAGCACCCAACAUAAUCAAAGACCCCCCCCCCCACCCCAGUUAUACUGUC
Molecule: long non-coding RNA, 800 nt
Organism: Rhincodon typus (whale shark)
Lineage: Eukaryota; Metazoa; Chordata; Chondrichthyes; Orectolobiformes; Rhincodontidae
Exons: 4
Source: RefSeq, a predicted model, not a curated record